RNAcentral lists this long non-coding RNA (413 nucleotides) under Nicotiana benthamiana. RNAcentral describes it as "long non-coding RNA (NBEN_LNC030355)". The record is from RNAcentral. Lineage: Eukaryota; Viridiplantae; Streptophyta; Magnoliopsida; Solanales; Solanaceae.
GAGUUUAAUUUUCCUAAUUCCCUCUUCACUCUUCAAUCUUCAGUCAUCUGUCUCUCAGUUCUCAUUCUUGUUUCCCCCGCAGCCCCCAAGAGUCAAGACGCAAGACUCACCACCAGUUCUCCGCCAGACGGCAGUGCCUCACCAGUUCUCCGCCAGUUAUGACGGCUCACUCUCUUACUCAUCAAUCUGAUCGUGUAAGUUUGGGCUCAAGAUUUUUUUGUUUGCUUCUUGUUAAUUGUUUUUAUUUUUGCUAAUCUUCACAUUACCCAGUAAUAUAUAUCAGGCUAUCUUAUAUAUGUGAGUCUUGUAGUGGGCAUCUUGUAGUGUUAAGUUAUUUUUGAGAAUGAUUUUGUAGUAUUUGGUAUAUCAGAUUUUUUUUUUUUGAUUGGAUUUGUUCGGGAAGGUUGUAAAAC